UGUCUAAGUACGUGCCUAAGAAAGGUGAAACCGCGAAUGGCUCAUUAAAUCAGUUAUGGUUCCUUAGAUCGUACCUUACUACUUGGAUAACUGUGGUAAUUCUAGAGCUAAUACAUGCAGCAGAGCUCCGACCUUCGGGGACGAGCGCUUUUAUUAGACCAAGACCAAUCGGACUUCGGUCCGAAGCUCAUGGUGACUCUGGAUAACUUUGGGCUGAUCGCACGGUCUCGUACCGGCGACGCAUCUUUCAAGUGUCUGCCUUAUCAACUUUCGAUGGUAGGUUAUGCGCCUACCAUGGUCGUAACGGGUAACGGGGAAUCAGGGUUCGAUUCCGGAGAGGGAGCCUGAGAAACGGCUACCACAUCCAAGGAAGGCAGCAGGCGCGCAAAUUACCCACUCCCGGCACGGGGAGGUAGUGACGAAAAAUAACAAUACGGGACUCUAUUGAGGCCCCGUAAUUGGAAUGAGUACACUCUAAAUCCUUUAACGAGGAUCUAUUGGAGGGCAAGUCUGGUGCCAGCAGCCGCGGUAAUUCCAGCUCCAAUAGCGUAUAUUAAAGUUGUUGCGGUUAAAAAGCUCGUAGUUGGAUCUCAGUUCCAGACGGGUGGUCCACCCCUGGUGGCUACUGCCUGGCCUGAACAAAUCCAGCCGGUUUUCCUUGAUGCUCUUCACCGAGUGUCUUGGGUGACCGGCACGUUUACUUUGAAAAAAUUAGAGUGCUCAAAGCAGGCGUGACGCCUGAAUAAUGGUGCAUGGAAUAAUGGAAUAGGACCUCGGUUCUAUUUUGUUGGUUUUCGGAACACGAGGUAAUGAUUAAGAGGGACAGACGGGGGCAUUCGUAUUGCGACGCUAGAG
This 855-nucleotide ribosomal RNA is filed under the name Stenochrus sp. MCZ IZ-132969 106723.1. RNAcentral describes it as "SSU rRNA". It matches the Rfam family "Eukaryotic small subunit ribosomal RNA", at positions 56 to 910 of the family's 1831-position model. The record is from RNAcentral. Lineage: Eukaryota; Metazoa; Arthropoda; Arachnida; Schizomida; Hubbardiidae.